Molecule: long non-coding RNA, 528 nt
Organism: Oncorhynchus keta (chum salmon)
Lineage: Eukaryota; Metazoa; Chordata; Actinopteri; Salmoniformes; Salmonidae
Exons: 4
Source: RefSeq, a predicted model, not a curated record
UGUAGCUGGCUGGAGUAACUGAUUCACACUAUAGGGCCAAACUGAACCGAACUGAACUGGGCUGGUUAUUCUUUCACCAUAGUAGCUGGAACCGUGCUGGAAAGGACAAUGUGGAAAUAAAAUAUCUGAGUCGGUACAGUACAGGUCAGCCCUAUAGUUCAGAUCAGGCAGAGGAAGAUAUAGGCUAGGAAGGUCUUCAUGGUUUCAGGAAAGAUAUAGGCUAGGAAGGUCUUCAUGGUUUCAGGAAAGAUAUAGGCUAGGAAGGUCUUCAUGGUUUCAGAGAAGAUAUAGGCUAGGAAGGUCUUCGUGGUUUCAGGGAAGAUAUAGGCUAGGAAGGUCUUCGUGGUUUCAGGGAAGAUAUAGGCUAGGAAGGUCUUCGUGGUUUCAGGGAAGAUAUAGGCUAGGAAGGUCUUCGUGGUUUCAGGGAAGAUAUAGGCUAGGAAGGUCUUCGUGGUUUCGAGGAAGAGGCUACAGUAGAUCUUUAUGAGCCCAGUGAAGAGGCACCUUGCCGGGCACGUUGGCUGUUCG